CUUUUUGUUGCUAUUGUGAAUGGAACCUGUUUUUUUCCCUCCUUAUCAUACUUUCUGUUUUCAAAAUAAUUGGUUUAUUGACUUUUUUUUUUUUUAACAUAUUGACCUUGCAUCAUUGGUUCUAAUAGUUUUCAGCUGAUUUUCUUGGAUUUUCUAGGUAACUGACCAUGUUAUCUGGAAACAGAAACCACUGAGUCUCUUCAUUUCUGUUUUGUCUGGGCUCUUUCAGUACACACACUUGGGAUUACUCACCUGGGAGCGAGACCUGAGUUCUGGUGCAAGCCUUCUAUUUACUGACCUGGGUGAUGCAAAUCUCUUAACCUCAGAGGUAAAAUGAGGGGGCUGUUGCCUCUGACUCCGUGCUUCUGCAGUUUAAUUAUAAUUAACUCAAACGUUUGAUGAGCUCUUUAAAAAUUAAAAAAAAAAAAAUGGUUGGUGGCUUUAAUAAGUUUGUACCACUGGGCCCUGAGUCGUAUUUUUGAAGUAAUAUAAGACAGGGAGAGAGGGUUGAGAGGUCCCUUCCAUUAUAUGAAUUUCCUAUUGAAUGUGUUAGUUUGAGAUAGCACCUGCCUAGUGUUAGGGGUCUAUAGAUACUACUUGAAUUAGGGAAGGUAGUGAUUAGGAUAAUGAAAUUUUUUUAAUUUGAAAAAACAACAAAGCCAAACAGAAACGAGUUUCUAAUUUUAUUGCAAAUAACUUGCAGGACUGAAAAUGAUUAAAGUUGUCAUACAUUUCUACAUUGAUAAGCCCUGUGCCAAGGGAUCAGAUACAACACAGUAAUCUACCAAGAUGAAAAAGAGUACCAUUGUUAACAGCUUAUUUUAAGGGUUGUAGAGGUUUAAAUGAAUUUGCUUUGUUUCUUUGUCUUUUAUUCUAAGAAGCUGUCUCUGAGGGGUUUAUGCAGGAAAUAGAUGUGAUCACCUUUGUGAUGUGUUAAAUUAGUAGCAAAUUUAACUUUAGGAUGAAAAAUCAUACUGGAUGCAGAAAUAGACAUUCAAAGAACCACAUACUAGUUGCAGGUUAGACAUAAUAUAUAAAAGUUAUUUUUAUAAUGAUUUUUAAAUUUGGAAUUAUUAAGAUUACACUUUUUUUUAAGUGUAACUGAGAGAAGCAAGAGCAAUGUAUUUGUGAUCGAAUUUAAGUCAGCUGCAUGAUAUUUGUAUAUCUACAUGUGAAAGUUUAAAUAUAAUGACAUUGUCUAUAUAAUGCAUAUAUAGUACACACACGCCUAUGUAGUUAGAAUCCUUAUCUAUUCCAUAGGAAGAAAAUGCUGUGUUAAAAUGUCUCUAGCAUUGAGUUACCUCUAAAGAAAUCAUAUUGUUUUGUUUUUGUUACUU
RNAcentral lists this long non-coding RNA (1337 nucleotides) under Bos indicus x Bos taurus (hybrid cattle). RNAcentral's name for it is "lncRNA (ENSBIXG00005006913.1)". Lineage: Eukaryota; Metazoa; Chordata; Mammalia; Artiodactyla; Bovidae. The record is from RNAcentral.